AACUUUUGAAUCUAAAUUUUCAGAAUUCAUUUUCAUGCCUUUGGCGUGUAUUGUUUUGAGUGAGAGUGAGGAUUUGCUUUCAUCAAUUGCACCAAUAAUCUUGGCUAACUUAUCAACUAUUCGUUAUGGCGUUUGUUGGAUUCUCAUCUAAAUCCUUCGAUCAUUGGUGUUUCAGCUUCUCUAAGUGUGGGGUACCAUAGGAGGUGGGUUUAUCAAAUUUUUUGAUUCCAUAUCUAUUUGUGCGUGUGGGUUUGAGGCUUGUACCAUAGGG
RNAcentral lists this long non-coding RNA (271 nucleotides) under Manihot esculenta (cassava). RNAcentral's name for it is "long non-coding RNA (MESC_LNC008244)". The record is from RNAcentral. Lineage: Eukaryota; Viridiplantae; Streptophyta; Magnoliopsida; Malpighiales; Euphorbiaceae.